CAUAUAUAUCAAUACUUCCUGGGCCUGAUGUAAGCUAGUCUGUCUGUCUUACUUUUGCAAUUGAAGCAUCCAUGAGCAUUUUCAUUGUGGUUCUUUUUAUAUUUUUGCCCCGCAUUUUUCUUGUUAUUUCCCCCUAUAUGAAUUAUCAAAGAGAGUUUACUGGCAGCAAUCCUGAACUCCUGAACCCUGCAGAAAGAUGCACAGUGAAUUCAUUUUAGAAAGCACUUACUCCUUCGGAUGUAAGCAAGCAUUGUACUUCAAAUAUUUAUCAAAAGCAUGCAUAGGAAUGUCAACCAGCAUUGGUCAGUAUCUAAAAUAAAUCAUUGUUUCCUUCCCUGCUGUGUAUUGUGAUGUGAUUACUUCUCUCUCAUUGAUGGUUAUGAUUUUCCUCUUUGUUCAGGAUAUGCAGCAACAGACACCUUGUCAACAAUUGAUUGCAAAAGAUCUGCAUGGCGGAGAGUGGCAUUUCCAACAUCUUAAUCAGAGUAAGCAAUAUAACACAUUGCUAUUUCAUGAUGCGAUGCUGAAUAAUUGUCUAGGGAUGGCAAUUAAUCAACUACAUUAGCUGAAAUAUGCUUUAUAUUAUUUUGUUCUGCUGCAUAUGAUUGUUAAUUGGGAAUUUAUGGAAUUGGUAACAUUUUUGUUUUUUUGUUAUAUCUAUGCAUUUAGAAUGGAGAAAGAGAAUCCAUAUAGCCAACCCCAAAUUUUUGGGAUAAAGGC
This 720-nucleotide unclassified non-coding RNA is filed under the name Hevea brasiliensis (rubber tree). The record is from RNAcentral. Lineage: Eukaryota; Viridiplantae; Streptophyta; Magnoliopsida; Malpighiales; Euphorbiaceae.